AUUUAGCGUUUAACACAAUUUAUUCGUUGCGAAAAGGAAAACUUAUUUCAACYGUUCUAUAAUACAUACUUCACUCUACAUUAUGUUGA
RNAcentral lists this unclassified non-coding RNA (89 nucleotides) under Haemonchus contortus (barber pole worm). RNAcentral's name for it is "28S-18S ribosomal RNA intergenic spacer". Lineage: Eukaryota; Metazoa; Nematoda; Chromadorea; Rhabditida; Trichostrongylidae. The record is from RNAcentral.